GACGAACGCUGGCGGCGUGCUUAACACAUGCAAGUCGAACGGAAAGGCCCUUCUUUUGUGGGGUGCUCGAGUGGCGAACGGGUGAGUAACACGUGAGUAACCUGCCCUUGACUUUGGGAUAACUUCAGGAAACUGGGGCUAAUACCAGAUAGUAGCUCCUGCUGCAUGGUGGGGGUUGGAAAGUUUCGUCGGUUGGGGAUGGACUCGCGGCUUAUCAGCGUGUUGGUGGGGUAGUGGCUUACCAAGGCUUUGACGGGUAGCCGGCCUGAGAGGGUGACCGGCCACAUUGGGACUGAGAUACGGCCAAGACUCCUACGGGAGGCAGCAGUGGGGAAUAUUGCACAAUGGGCGGAAGCCUGAUGCAGCAACGCCGCGUGCGGGAUGACGGCCUUCGGGUUGUAAACCGCUUUCGCCUGUGACGAAGCGUGAGUGACGGUAAUGGGUAAAGAAGCACAGGCUAACUACGUG
RNAcentral lists this ribosomal RNA (468 nucleotides) under uncultured bacterium. RNAcentral describes it as "partial 16S ribosomal RNA". It matches the Rfam family "Bacterial small subunit ribosomal RNA", at positions 28 to 507 of the family's 1533-position model. The record is from RNAcentral.